Molecule: long non-coding RNA, 2494 nt
Filed under: Gadus morhua (Atlantic cod)
Lineage: Eukaryota; Metazoa; Chordata; Actinopteri; Gadiformes; Gadidae
Description: lncRNA (ENSGMOG00000029233.1)
Source: RNAcentral
GAGCAUGUACUCCGAGGGUUCCAACGUGGACAUGGACUGGGGGAUGGUGGGGCUGCCCAGCCUGGCCGGCCUCCAGCUGCUGGACCAGCCGGACCCAGACGUGUUCCUGGAGGGGGUCUGCUGCCAGGAGGCCCAGUGUCCCCUACACAAGGGCUCCGGUGAGGUCAGAGGGGGGGGGGGGGGGAAACACCAAUGUCUGGGAUCAACCUGCUUACACAUUUACAGUUUUAUUAACCUUUACAUUCAGGCCAUUCAGUGUACUUCUCUAGUGGGUUUCUUCAGUGUGUGUUUCUCUAGUGUGCGUUGUUCUAGUUGUGUGUCGCUCCAGUGUGUGUAGCUCUAGUGUGUCGCUCUAUUGUGCGUCGCACUGGUGUGUUGCUCUGAUGUGCGUUGCUCUAGUGUGCGUUGCUCUAGUGUGCGUCGCUCUGGUGUGUUGCUCUGAUGUGCGUUGCUCCAGUGUGUGUCACUCUAUUGUGUGUCGCUCUAUUGUGCGUCGCUCUGGUGUGUUGCUCUGAUAUGCGUCGCUCCAGUGUGUGUCUGAGUGCCGCCCUGCCCUUUCUGCGGUUCCUCUUUCUCAUGAACCACAUGAGGAAGGAAGUUACACCUAAGAGACACAUUUCACACCCUGAUGAUCAGACAUCCUAGGCAUCUUCAUCAAGCGCUGAAAAUACGAGCCGCAUUCAUACACAUGAUAGUAUGACUAUCGUGUUGGCAUUACACUUCAUUCAGACAUUCAGAAUAUAAAUAAACGCCCGCCGCCGAUAUACUGGCAGUGGGUUGUAGAGUUUAACAAUACGAUAGACCCCCUGGUGCUUUUAGCUCCUGUAGAGAGUCUACUGUUUCCUAUGAGCAUCUAUUGUGAAAAUGACCAUUCAUUGACGUGCUCACUCUGAAAUCCGCAGUCUCAUCCUGCUGUCAUGAGGACGAGGUUUUCUCAGAGGGCCUUCCCCCACCUGUCCCCCGUAAGAAGCUGGUGCGCGCCAUGUCGAUGCCCGAGGGGUGCACCCCGCCUACUGCCCCACAACGGCCACCUAGGCCCCCCGUGUCGGGACUGAAUAAACAGGUCACCGACCCACAAUGCUUCGACAACCCGCUCUACAUGUUGUCGCCACUGGAGGGCGCCAUUUCCCCGGAGCGCAGUGAAGCGCAGACAGCAGCCACAGCGAAUCCGCUUCUAUCGUCCGACCCCAGCAGUGACACCACGCCCCUCUCCAAACUGUCGUUUGACACACCGGACGAGCAGGUGCUGCCGUACCUGUCGAGCGAGGCCGCGGGGGUUAUCAUCGCGCAGAGACAUCUGUUGUUCCUCCGGAAAGCUGCGGACGCAUUGGAAUCCGACCUUUUGAUGCUAGGGGAGGCUGGCGGGUUGUCAUACUCACCGGAGAACUUCCAGCUGUGUGACGGAUAUGAGCCCAGGCAGAUAGGAGAUGACGUCUACAUCAAACUGCACUGCAACAAGCUUCCAAACAAAGUACUGGGUGCAAGGGUGUACAAUCCAGAUAACCAUUCGGCCCACUCCGUCCCCCAGUCGCCGCACGUCAACCUGCGACAAGUCCUCAUUAAUUUCUCACCUAGCAGAACACAAGAGACAGCAGCACAGCCAGACUGCACACCUCCAAUGCGGCCACUGGGUGGCAUUAGUGAGUUUGUUGACAGCCAACUGGUUUCCCCCAUAAAUAACUCUCCGACUAUUAUAGAGUUAUUGGAGAGGGGACAUGCUGUGAGUGUUGAAAGAGAUUUUCCUCAAGCCACACUAGGGGACUUCUUUCAGGGCCGCUGUGCCAAUCAAACCUCUGAUCCCGCGCUAUAUGCGAAACAGCUGUGUCUCCUGUUGCUGCAGGUGGCCACAGGCCUACAGCCGCUGUGCAGUAACGGAGCAAUGUACACAGAGUUAAGACCGUCCAAUGUUUUCCUUGUGUGGCCCAGUAGGGCGCCAGCCGCGUCCGACAGAGCAGAAAGUAGAAUGGACAAAGAACGAGCCGCGGUUCAGACGCACUGGGAGAGAAUAGGAGCGCCUCGCGUGGUUCUCAACAACACACCCUAUAGGGCCUCUUCCAAACAUCACACCGUGUCCUCCACCAACGCCCAGAUCGGAGGGCUGAUUCUCCAAGGCCUCUCCUCUGUCAAACGGGGCUCGCUUCCAAAAUCCACCAGCGAUCCUUACACUGAGAGACUGCUGGAUCUGGCGGGAUGGCUUCAGGACGAGAGCGCCGCGCUGCCGCUGUCACACACGAAGACCAUCCUCCAAGCCCUCCUCUGGGGGCCCCGGGCCCAGCUCUUCACCUUCCACAUCGGCUCGGCCACGUCCACCAUGAACUCCUGGCUGACCAUCAGCCGCAGCUUGCUGGUGCUGAAGAUGGCCGAGAGGGGCCUUCUCCAGGCCGGGCCGCCCAUGGACUGGGAGGCGUGCCUCCGCCUCAGGUACUUUGCGUCCUGUGACGCCGAGGAGUUGAGCAGGGCCUCCGAGCGCCUAGCGCUCCUCCGAAAGCUAUGA